Molecule: ribosomal RNA, 253 nt
Filed under: uncultured bacterium
Lineage: Bacteria
Description: partial 16S ribosomal RNA
Rfam family: Bacterial small subunit ribosomal RNA
Source: RNAcentral
UACGUAGGAGGCGAGCGUUGUCCGGAAUUACUGGGCGUAAAGCGUGCGCAGGCGGUGAUGUAAGACAGUUGUGAAAUCCCCGGGCUCAACCUGGGAACUGCAUCUGUGACUGCAUCGCUGGAGUGCGGCAGAGGGGGAUGGAAUUCCGCGUGUAGCAGUGAAAUGCGUAGAUAUGCGGAGGAACACCGAUGGCGAAGGCAAUCCCCUGGGCCUGCACUGACGCUCAUGCACGAAAGCGUGGGGAGCAAACAGG